AUUGAACGCUGGCGGCAUGCUUUACACAUGCAAGUCGAACGGUAACAGGUUAAGCUGACGAGUGGCGAACGGGUGAGUAAUGCAUCGGAACGUGCCCGAUCGUGGGGGAUAACGCAGCGAAAGCUGCGCUAAUACCGCAUAAGAUCUGAGGAUGAAAGCGGGGGACCGUAAGGCCUCGCGCGAUCGGAGCGGCCGAUGUCAGAUUAGGUAGUUGGUGGGGUAAAGGCUCACCAAGCCGACGAUCUGUAGCUGGUCUGAGAGGACGACCAGCCAAAAUGGGACUGAGACACGGCCCAGACUCCUACGGGAGGCAGCAGUGGGGAAUUUUGGACAAUGGGCGAAAGCCUGAUCCAGCAAUGCCGCGUGCAGGAAGAAGGCCUUCGGGUUGUAAACUGCUUUUGUACGGAGCGAAAAGGCUCUCUCUAAUACAGGGGGCUCAUGACGGUACCGUAAGAAUAAGCACCGGCUAACUACGUGCCAGCCGCCGCAGUAA
RNAcentral lists this ribosomal RNA (493 nucleotides) under uncultured bacterium. Its description in RNAcentral is "partial 16S ribosomal RNA". It matches the Rfam family "Bacterial small subunit ribosomal RNA", at positions 29 to 523 of the family's 1533-position model. The record is from RNAcentral.